This 253-nucleotide ribosomal RNA is filed under the name uncultured bacterium. Its description in RNAcentral is "partial 16S ribosomal RNA". It matches the Rfam family "Bacterial small subunit ribosomal RNA", at positions 524 to 776 of the family's 1533-position model. The record is from RNAcentral.
UACGUAGGGUGCGAGCGUUAAUCGGAAUUACUGGGCGUAAAGCGUGCGCAGGCGGUUCGCUGUGUCCGAUGUGAAAGCCCCGGGCUUAACCUGGGAAUGGCAUUGGAAACUGGCGGGCUUGAGUGCGGCAGAGGGGGGUGGAAUUCCGCGUGUAGCAGUGAAAUGCGUAGAGAUGCGGAGGAACACCGAUGGCGAAGGCAGCCCCCUGGGUCGACACUGACGCUCAGGCACGAAAGCGUGGGGAGCAAACAAG